UCUGGUGCUUGCACUAGAAAAACUUAGCGGCGAACGGGUGAGUAACACGUAAAGAACCUGCCUCAUAGACUGGGACAACUAUUGGAAACGAUAGCUAAUACCGGAUAACAGUAUUUCUCGCAUGGGAGAUAUUUAAAAGUUGGUUAUGCUAACACUAUGAGAUGGCUUUGCGGUGCAUUAGCUAGUUGGUGGGGUAAAGGCCCACCAAGGCGACGAUGCAUAGCCGACCUGAGAGGGUGAUCGGCCACACUGGGACUGAGACACGGCCCAGACUCCUACGGGAGGCAGCAGUAGGGAAUCUUCCGCAAUGGGCGAAAGCCUGACGGAGCAACGCCGCGUGAGUGAAGAAGGAUUUCGGUUCGUAAAGCUCUGUUGUUAGGGAAGAAUGGAUAUGUAGUAACUAUACAUGUACGAG
This 415-nucleotide ribosomal RNA is filed under the name Gemella morbillorum. RNAcentral's name for it is "bacterial SSU rRNA". It matches the Rfam family "Bacterial small subunit ribosomal RNA", at positions 72 to 476 of the family's 1533-position model. The record is from RNAcentral. Lineage: Bacteria; Bacillati; Bacillota; Bacilli; Caryophanales; Gemellaceae.